Molecule: ribosomal RNA, 352 nt
Filed under: uncultured bacterium
Lineage: Bacteria
Description: bacterial SSU rRNA
Rfam family: Bacterial small subunit ribosomal RNA
Source: RNAcentral
GGGCCCGCACAAGCGGUGGAGCAUGUGGUUUAAUUCGAUGAUACGCGAGGAACCUUACCAGGGCUUAAAUGCAGUUCGACAGAUUUAGAAAUAAAUCCUUCUUCGGACGAAUUGCAAGGUGCUGCAUGGUUGUCGUCAGCUCGUGCCGUGAGGUGUCAGGUUAAGUCCUAUAACGAGCGCAACCCCUAUUCUUAGUUGCCAGCGGGUAAUGCCGGGAACUCUAAGGAAACUGCCAGCGCAAGCUGUGAGGAAGGUGGGGAUGACGUCAAAUCAUCACGGCCCUUACGUCCUGGGCUACACACGUGCUACAAUGGAUGGUACAAUGGGCAGCCACUACGCGAGUAGGAGCUAA